Molecule: non-coding RNA, 131 nt
Organism: Chelonoidis abingdonii (Abingdon island giant tortoise)
Lineage: Eukaryota; Metazoa; Chordata; Testudines; Testudinidae
Source: RefSeq, a predicted model, not a curated record
AGUCCAAUUGUUGUCCCCAUCACAUUGAGUGUGGUUAACAUGAAAGGCCGAAACCACCUUAGGGAGGAAAGCCGGAUGUGGUCAUAACUGCACCUUGCCUUUGGGAACAUACAUUAGAGCUCUGAUCUCAG